GAAAGAUUGAAAAAUGGAGUUUCCAGUCGUGUCCGUGCAUUUAUGCAUGAACUGUUCUACCAAAGCUUCCGAAAUUAUAAUAUGCUGUUACUGAUGACAAAAUGGAGGUCAAGUUCAAUAAUGACGAUUUUGACUUUUACCGUUCAGGAGUUGUGGUUCUUGAAAGAUUGAAAAAUGGUUUUUCCCGUCGUGUCCGUGCAUU
This 202-nucleotide long non-coding RNA is filed under the name Mytilus galloprovincialis (Mediterranean mussel). Lineage: Eukaryota; Metazoa; Mollusca; Bivalvia; Mytilida; Mytilidae. The record is from RNAcentral.